This 429-nucleotide ribosomal RNA is filed under the name Acidobacteriota bacterium. RNAcentral describes it as "Acidobacteria bacterium partial 16S ribosomal RNA". It matches the Rfam family "Bacterial small subunit ribosomal RNA", at positions 355 to 776 of the family's 1533-position model. Lineage: Bacteria; Pseudomonadati; Acidobacteriota. The record is from RNAcentral.
UGGGGAAUUUUGGACAAUGGGGGAAACCCUGAUCCAGCCAUCCCGCGUGUGCGAUGAAGGCCUUCGGGUUGUAAAGCACUUUUGGCAGGAAAGAAACGUCAUGGGUUAAUACCCCGUGAAACUGACGGUACCUGCAGAAUAAGCACCGGCUAACUACGUGCCAGCAGCCGCGGUAAUACGUAGGGUGCAAGCGUUAAUCGGAAUUACUGGGCGUAAAGCGUGCGCAGGCGGUUCGGAAAGAAAGAUGUGAAAUCCCAGAGCUCAACUUUGGAACUGCAUUUUUAACUACCGGGCUAGAGUGUGUCAGAGGGAGGUGGAAUUCCGCGUGUAGCAGUGAAAUGCGUAGAUAUGCGGAGGAACACCGAUGGCGAAGGCAGCCUCCUGGGAUAACAUUGACGCUCAUGCACGAAAGCGUGGGGAGCAAACAGG